CCUACGGGUGGCAGCAGUGGGGGAUAUUGGACAAUGGGGGUAACCCUGAUCCAGCGACGCCGCGUGCGUGAAGAAGUCUCUCGGUAUGUAAAGCUCUGUCAGCAGGGAAGAAAGAAAUGACGGUACCUGACCAAGAAGCCUCGGCUAACUACGUGCCAGCAGCCGCGGUAAUACGUAGGGGGCAAGCGUUAUCCGGAAUUACUGGGUGUAAAGGGAGCGUAGACGGUUAGUUAAGUCUGGAGUGAAAGGCCGGGGCUCAACCACGGGACUGCGCUGGAAACUAUUUAACUUGAGUGCGGGGAAGGUACGCGGAAUUCGUGGUGUAGCGGUGAAAUGCGUAGAUAUUAGGAGGAACACCGGUGGCGAAGGCAGCAUACGGGAGUGUAACUGACGUUGAAGCUCGAAGGCGUGGGGAGCGAACAGGAUUAGAUACCCGUGUAGUC
Molecule: ribosomal RNA, 443 nt
Filed under: uncultured bacterium
Lineage: Bacteria
Description: partial 16S ribosomal RNA
Rfam family: Bacterial small subunit ribosomal RNA
Source: RNAcentral